AGAGUUUGAUCAUGGCUCAGAAUGAACGUUGGCGGCGUGCCUAACACAUGCAAGUCGAGCGUGAAAGUCCUUCGGGAUGAGUAAAGCGGCGGACGGGUGAGUAACGCGUGAGAAUCUACCUUUUAGUGAAGAAUACCUUUGAGAAAUUAAAGUUAAUGCUGCAUAAGUCUCGUAAGAGAGAAAGAUGGCCUCUUUGCUGUCGCUAAGAGAUGAGCUUGCGUUCUAUUAGUUAGUUGGUGGGGUAAAGGCCUACCAAGACUAUGAUGGAUAACCGGCCUGAGAGGGUGUACGGUCACAUUGGAACUUAGACACGGUCCAAACUCCUACGGGAGGCAGCAGUGAGGAAUAUUGCAUAAUGGGCGAAAGCCUGAUGCAGCAACGCCGCGUGUGCGAUGAAGGCCUUCGGGUUGUAAGGCACUUUUCGAGGGGAUGAGGAAGGACAGUACCCUCGGAAUAAGCCUCGGCUAACUACGUGCCAGCAGCCGCGGUAAAACGUAGGAGGCGAGCGUUAUCCGGAUUUACUGGGCGUAAAGCGUGUGCAGGCGGUUCGGCAAGUUGGAUGUGAAAGCUCCCGGCUUAACUGGGAGAGGUCGUUCAAAACUACCGGACUUGAGUAUGGGAGAGGGAGGUGGAAUUCCGGGUGUAGUGGUGAAAUGCGUAGAUAUCCGGAGGAACACCAGUGGCGAAGGCGGCCUCCUGGCCCAUUUCUGACGCUCAUACACGAAAGCUAGGGGAGCGAACGGGAUUAGAGACCCCGGUAGUCCUAGCUGUAAACGAUGUA
This 781-nucleotide ribosomal RNA is filed under the name uncultured bacterium. RNAcentral's name for it is "bacterial SSU rRNA". It matches the Rfam family "Bacterial small subunit ribosomal RNA", at positions 8 to 813 of the family's 1533-position model. The record is from RNAcentral. RNAcentral also lists the same sequence under 1 other name.